This 1162-nucleotide ribosomal RNA is filed under the name Spirirestis rafaelensis CMT-3SWIN-NPC18. RNAcentral's name for it is "bacterial SSU rRNA". It matches the Rfam family "Bacterial small subunit ribosomal RNA", at positions 356 to 1531 of the family's 1533-position model. The record is from RNAcentral. Lineage: Bacteria; Bacillati; Cyanobacteriota; Cyanophyceae; Nostocales; Tolypothrichaceae.
GGGGAAUUUUCCGCAAUGGGCGAAAGCCUGACGGAGCAAUACCGCGUGAGGGAGGAAGGCUCUUGGGUUGUAAACCUCUUUUCUCAAGGAAGAAAAAAAUGACGGUACUUGAGGAAUAAGCAUCGGCUAACUCCGUGCCAGCAGCCGCGGUAAUACGGAGGAUGCAAGCGUUAUCCGGAAUGAUUGGGCGUAAAGCGUCCGCAGGUGGCUAUGUAAGUCUGCUGUUAAAGAGUCUGGCUCAACCAGAUAAAGGCAGUGGAAACUACAUGGCUAGAGUGCGUUCGGGGCAGAGGGAAUUCCUGGUGUAGCGGUGAAAUGCGUAGAGAUCAGGAAGAACACCGGUGGCGAAAGCGCUCUGCUAGGCCGCAACUGACACUGAGGGACGAAAGCUAGGGGAGCGAAUGGGAUUAGAUACCCCAGUAGUCCUAGCCGUAAACGAUGGAUACUAGGCGUGGCUUGUAUCGACCCGAGCCGUGCCGUAGCUAACGCGUUAAGUAUCCCGCCUGGGGAGUACGCAGGCAACUGUGAAACUCAAAGGAAUUGACGGGGGCCCGCACAAGCGGUGGAGUAUGUGGUUUAAUUCGAUGCAACACGAAGAACCUUACCAGGACUUGACAUGUCGCGAAUUUCUGUGAAAGCAGAAAGUGCCUUCGGGAGCGCGAACACAGGUGGUGCAUGGCUGUCGUCAGCUCGUGUCGUGAGAUGUUGGGUUAAGUCCCGCAACGAGCGCAACCCUCGUUUUUAGUUGCCAGCAUUAAGUUGGGCACUCUAGAGAGACUGCCGGUGACAAACCGGAGGAAGGUGGGGAUGACGUCAAGUCAGCAUGCCCCUUACGUUCUGGGCUACACACGUACUACAAUGCUACGGACAAAGGGCAGCAAGCAUGCGAAUGCAAGCUAAUCUCAUAAACCGUGGCUCAGUUCAGAUCGCAGGCUGCAACUCGCCUGCGUGAAGGAGGAAUCGCUAGUAAUUGCAGGUCAGCAUACUGCAGUGAAUUCGUUCCCGGGCCUUGUACACACCGCCCGUCACACCAUGGAAGCUGGUAGUGCCCGAAGUCAUUACCCCAACCGCUUGCGGAGGGGGAUGCCUAAGGCAGGACUGGUGACUGGGGUGAAGUCGUAACAAGGUAGCCGUACCGGAAGGUGUGGCUGGAUCACCUCCU